UAUGUUAAAAAAUUUUUCAUNGGGGGAANNNUCCCUUNUNANCCCCNAGGGGGGGGGGGGGGAAAGGGGUGANUUUCAUUUCAGGCACGGGCCUUAUUNCUUGGGGCAAAAACACACCGUUACCAUUGGACGAUACCACGGGUUGCCCAAGGAGCGAUCCGGAGCUAAUCCUCGAAAAUCGUUCCUCAGUUCGGAUUGCAGGCUGAAACCGCCUGCAUGAAGUCGGAGUUGCUAGUAACCGCAGGUCAGCUAUACUGCGGUGAAUACGUUCUCGGGCCUUGUACACACCCCCCGUGAAUCACUAG
This 305-nucleotide ribosomal RNA is filed under the name uncultured bacterium. RNAcentral describes it as "partial 16S ribosomal RNA". It matches the Rfam family "Bacterial small subunit ribosomal RNA", at positions 1114 to 1407 of the family's 1533-position model. The record is from RNAcentral.